RNAcentral lists this ribosomal RNA (481 nucleotides) under uncultured bacterium. Its description in RNAcentral is "partial 16S ribosomal RNA". It matches the Rfam family "Bacterial small subunit ribosomal RNA", at positions 28 to 507 of the family's 1533-position model. The record is from RNAcentral.
GAUGAACGCUGGCGGCGUGCCUAACACAUGCAAGUCGAACGGAGAUUACGGACGGAAGUUUUCGGAUGGAAGCCUGUAAUUCUUAGUGGCGGACGGGUGAGUAACGCGUGGGCAACCUGCCCUAUACAGGGGGAUAGCAGCUGGAAACGGCUGGUAAGACCGCAUAAGUCGGCGAGACCGCAUGGUUUUGCCGGGAAAUGAGCAAUCAGGUAUAGGAUGGGCCCGCGUCCGAUUAGCCAGUUGGCAGGUUAAAAGCCUACCAAAGCAACGAUCGGUAGCCGGACUGAGAGGUCGGACGGCCACAUUGGGACUGAGACACGGCCCAAACUCCUACGGGAGGCAGCAGUGGGGGAUAUUGCACAAUGGAGGAAACUCUGAUGCAGCGACGCCGCGUGAGUGAAGAAGUAUUUCGGUAUGUAAAGCUCUAUCAGCAGGGAAGAUGAUGACGGUACCUGACUAAGAAGCCACGGCUAACUACGUG